This is a long non-coding RNA of Oncorhynchus tshawytscha (Chinook salmon), 557 nucleotides long. The record is from Ensembl. Lineage: Eukaryota; Metazoa; Chordata; Actinopteri; Salmoniformes; Salmonidae.
UGAUGAGUUGUUCAGUGUUGAGGAACUCUGGUCAUGUGUUUCAACAGAUUCCUGACAUCCAUCCAGCCGUGAGAGAUGUGAUGAUGAAUCAGACGUUCAACAUCAUCAGCCUUCAAUUCCCAGAGUUCGAAACGCUGGACUGGAUUGCAUGGUUCAAAGUAAAGCUGAUUCCCAUCCUCCCCAGUUUUAAUGAAGUCAUGCUCACCAUUGCUACCUCAAACGUCAACUGCACCAACUACCAAGUCAUUGUAAAUGGAAUGGACAGAGCUUUCCAUGAAAUGACUCAGGAUAGAAGAGAAGGAAUCGCAAGAGUCCUGCUGAAAUACCUGAGGAAAUCUGUGCACCUCAUCAAUGGACCAGGUAGGACUCACCAAGCAGGUUGUUGUGCUCAUUGGCUUUCUGUUUGAUUCUUCAUCGCCUAUGCUGGAUGAAGCGUGCUUUGUUUGAAAGGAGUGAACAGUUGGCAUGUGGCUUCCUUGUCUAUUGAAUAUAACAUCAAUGUACUCCACUUUUCAAUAACCAAAACGGCCAUACAUGUCUUUUAGCUUGCAGGCAGG